This 443-nucleotide ribosomal RNA is filed under the name uncultured bacterium. RNAcentral's name for it is "partial 16S ribosomal RNA". It matches the Rfam family "Bacterial small subunit ribosomal RNA", at positions 338 to 795 of the family's 1533-position model. The record is from RNAcentral.
CCUACGGGUGGCUGCAGUGGGGGAUAUUGGACAAUGGGGGGAACCCUGAUCCAGCGACGCCGCGUGAGUGAAGAAGCAUUUUGGUAUGUAAAGCUCUGUUAGCAGGGAAGAAAGCAAUGACGGUACCUGACCAAGAAGCUCCGGCAAACUAGGUGCUAGCAGCCGCGGUAAUACGUCGGGGGCAGGCGUAAUCCGGAAUUACUGGGUGUAAAGGGGGGGUCGUCGGCUGGGGAAGUCUGGGGUGAAAGGCGGGGGCUAAACCCCCGGACGGCUCUUGAUACUGUAUGGCUGGAGUGCAGGAGAGGUAAGCGGAAUUCCUGGUGUAGCGGUGAAAUGCGUAGAUAUUAGGAGGAACACCAGUGGCGAAGGCGGCUUACUGGACUGUAACUGACGUUGAGGCUCGAAAGCGUGGGGAGCAAACAGGAUUAGAUACCCCAGUAGUC